GCCCUGAAACGGGUCUAUGCCGUGUCUUGCCAUUUCCACGUCAGAAACGUUUCCAACACGACGAAACUUCAAAUAUUUUUGUUUCCAUGCUUUGCAGAUUUACUGUUAUUUCCCUUACUCUCUUUUCAAUUUGAAAUAAUUACAUCCCUCAAACUUUAUUUUGCUAAGAAAGUGGUUCCUUCAUCCAAAUUUUAUAUUUAAG
Molecule: unclassified non-coding RNA, 202 nt
Filed under: Hevea brasiliensis (rubber tree)
Lineage: Eukaryota; Viridiplantae; Streptophyta; Magnoliopsida; Malpighiales; Euphorbiaceae
Source: RNAcentral